CAAGUCCUACGGGGGGCAGCAGUGGGGAAUAUUGCACAAUGGGGGAAACCCUGAUGCAGCAACGCCGCGUGGGUGAAGGAGCGUUUCGGCGCGUAAAGCCCUGUCAGCGGGGAAGAAGAAAGACGGUACCCGACCAAGAAGCCCCGGCUAACUACGUGCCAGCAGCCGCGGUAAUACGUAGGGGGCGAGCGUUAUCCGGAAUUACUGGGUGUAAAGGGAGCGUAGGUGGCAAGGCAAGUCAGAUGUGAAAACCCGGGGCCCAACCCCGGGAGUGCAUUUGAAACUGUCUGGCUAGAGUGCAGGAG
This 305-nucleotide ribosomal RNA is filed under the name uncultured bacterium. RNAcentral's name for it is "bacterial SSU rRNA". It matches the Rfam family "Bacterial small subunit ribosomal RNA", at positions 333 to 654 of the family's 1533-position model. The record is from RNAcentral.